Molecule: transfer RNA, 72 nt
Filed under: Ovis aries (sheep)
Lineage: Eukaryota; Metazoa; Chordata; Mammalia; Artiodactyla; Bovidae
Rfam family: tRNA
About the family: Transfer RNA (tRNA) molecules are approximately 80 nucleotides in length. Their secondary structure includes four short double-helical elements and three loops (D, anti-codon, and T loops). Further hydrogen bonds mediate the characteristic L-shaped molecular structure. tRNAs have two regions of fundamental functional importance: the anti-codon, which is responsible for specific mRNA codon recognition, and the 3' end, to which the tRNAs corresponding amino acid is attached (by aminoacyl-tRNA synthetases). tRNAs cope with the degeneracy of the genetic code in two manners: having more than one tRNA (with a specific anti-codon) for a particular amino acid; and 'wobble' base-pairing, i.e. permitting non-standard base-pairing at the 3rd anti-codon position.
Source: Rfam by way of RNAcentral
UCCCUGGUGGCUGAGAGGUUAAAGCGUCUGCCUGCAAUGCGGGAGACCUGGGUUCGAUCCCUGGAUCGGGAA